UACGUAGGCAGCGAGCGUUGUUCGGAGUUACUGGGCGUAAAGAGUGCGUAGGCGGUUUUCUAAGUUUGGUGUGAAAUCUCCCGGCUUAACUGGGAGGGUGCGCCGAAGACUGGAAGGCUUGAGUAUGGGAGAGGUAAGCGGAAUUCCUGGUGUAGCGGUGAAAUGCGUAGAUAUCAGGAGGAACACCUGCGGUGUAGACGGCUUACUGGACCAUCACUGACGCUGAGGCGCGAAAGCUCGGGGAGCGAACGGG
RNAcentral lists this ribosomal RNA (253 nucleotides) under uncultured bacterium. RNAcentral's name for it is "partial 16S ribosomal RNA". It matches the Rfam family "Bacterial small subunit ribosomal RNA", at positions 524 to 776 of the family's 1533-position model. The record is from RNAcentral.